GGGAACACAUCCAAGCUUAAGACGGUGAGGUCAGCUUCACAUUCUCAGGAACUCUCCUUCUUUGGGUCUGGCUGAAGUUGAGGAUCUCUUACUCUCUAGGCCACGGAAUUAACCCGAGCAGGCAUGGAGGCCUCUGCUCUCACCUCAUCAGCAGUGACCAGUGUGGCCAAAGUGGUCAGGGUGGCCUCUGGCUCUGCCGUAGUUUUGCCCCUGGCCAGGAUUGCUACAGUUGUGAUUGGAGGAG
This 244-nucleotide long non-coding RNA is filed under the name Homo sapiens (human). Its description in RNAcentral is "HSALNT0215009". Lineage: Eukaryota; Metazoa; Chordata; Mammalia; Primates; Hominidae. The record is from RNAcentral.